CAGCAGCCGCGGUAAUACAGAGGAUGCAAGCGUUAUCCGGAAUGAUUGGGCGUAAAGCGUCUGUAGGUGGCUUUUCAAGUCCGCCGUCAAAUCCCCGGGCUCAACCUGGGAAUGGCGCUUGUGACUGCAAAGCUAGAGUGCGGCAGAGGGGGAUGGAAUUCCGCGUGUAGCAGUGAAAUGCAUAGAUAUGCGGAGGAACACCGAUGGCGAAGGCAAUCCCCUGGGCCUGCACUGACGCUCAUGCACGAAAGCGUGGGGAGCAAACAGGAUUAGAUACCCCGGUAGUCCCUGUCUCUUAUAC
RNAcentral lists this ribosomal RNA (301 nucleotides) under uncultured bacterium. Its description in RNAcentral is "partial 16S ribosomal RNA". It matches the Rfam family "Bacterial small subunit ribosomal RNA", at positions 509 to 807 of the family's 1533-position model. The record is from RNAcentral.